Molecule: long non-coding RNA, 3104 nt
Organism: Nerophis ophidion (straightnose pipefish)
Lineage: Eukaryota; Metazoa; Chordata; Actinopteri; Syngnathiformes; Syngnathidae
Exons: 4
Source: RefSeq, a predicted model, not a curated record
GGUCUUCCUCUGGGUCCUUGUCCUGGUCCUUCCCACAUUUUCUGUAGACAGUGUCGUAACAAGAAGAAAACAAUUAAAAUGAAACGCUUACAUCAUAUCUGGACAUUUGUUUUGACCUGGUGAGUGUGUAAAUAGGCUUGAUCAGUCCUUCAGGUUUACAGCGUCGCUUUCUAGCGAGGAUGACGUUAUUGUAUUUUUUAAGAUGGCUGCAGACGUCAACCAACACUAGCUAAGAGCAUCGCCAUUGCACCGUUUGUCCGCCUUCUCUUCCUGUCCGUCUGCACUUGGCUGAGUGGGCAAAGGUGUGGCAUCAUUCUGUGUGUCAGGAGCAUUAGCACUAAGAGCGGGCUUUAAGCUGGCAGCAAGGCCACCGCUACUGCCUGUUGGACCUGUAGCGGCACCGGCAGGGGCACCACCGGCAGCACUGGCAGCGGGAUCGAAAGCUCCAGAAUCCCCAGGCUCGGAUGCACGAAGCCUCUUCAUGAGUGUAGUCACUCUGACAGCUUUCUGUGAGGACACACAUGGACACGCUGAACACAUUGGCAGGGGGUGCUGGAGCCUAUCCCAGCUGCAUUCAGGCGGAAGGCGGGGUACACCCUGAAAAAGUCGGCACCUAAUCGCAGUGCCACACAGAUUGAGAGACAACAUUCACGCUCAGCAUAGGGGGUGGAGCACAGGUCCGGUGGCAAUGGAUGAAGUACUGGCUGUCCAGAGUCGGGACCCAGGAUGGACCGCUCGCCUGUGUAUCAGUUGGGGACAUCUCUGCACUGCUGAUCCGCCUCCGCUUGUGAUAGUUUCCUGCUGGCUCCACUAUGGACGGGAUUCUCGCUACUAUAUUGGAUCCACUUUGGACUGGAUUCUCACCGUUAUGUUAGAUCCACUAUGGAUUGGACUUUCACAAUAUUGUGUUAGACCCGCUCGACAUCCAUUGCUUUCGGCCCCCUAAGGGGCGGGGAUUGCCCACAUAUGCGGUCCUCUCCAAGGUUUCUCAUACUCAUCAUUAUUACUGUCACCGACGUCACAUUGGGUGUGAGUUUUUCCUUGCCCUUAUUGCCGAUAUUGCCAUAUUUUUGCUGAAAGGAUUUAGUAGAGAACAUCCACAAUAAAGUUCGCAACUUUUGGUCGCUAAAAGAAAAGCCCUGCCUUUACCGUAAGUAUGUGCACGUGACGUCACGAGUUGUAGGGCUCCACACAUUUUUACAUUAUUUUUAAUGGGAGCCAUCAGCAGCAAGAGCAAUUCGGACCGAGGAAGCGACAAUUUCCCCAUUAAUUUCAUUGAGGAUGAAAGAUUUGUGAAUUAAGAUGUUGAUAAUAAAGGACUAGAAAAAAAAAAAAAAAAGCGACGGCUCCGGGCUGCGGCAGUGUGAGCGUUUCAGAUGGAAUUAGACACAUUUACUUGGAUAAUUCUCGAAGAUCCUUUAUCUGCUUAUUGUUUUAAUAGUGUUUUAGUGAGAUUUUAAAGAUUGUAAAGACAUACCUCGAGGUCGGAUGGCUGCGGUGAACACGAAGUGUCACGGAGAGAAGCCGAGGAGCCAAGCUCACAGCUGCCUUUUAAACAGCUACUGGAGGACGACGAAUAAUCCAAUGAUUUCUCCGGUAAGAUAUAUAUCACAAUUUUCCCAUCCAAAAACUUGCUGGUUGACGUAGAAACAACAUGUUCGCUUGACCGCUCUGUGUUAAAGCUUCACAACAAACAAAGAAACACCGGCUGUGUCUCGGUGAUAAAGACAGCUACAAUCCACCGCUGUCCACCAACAGCAUUGUUCUUCAUAGUCUCAAUUAUUAAAUGAAGAAGUUGCAAAAGAUUCAGCAACACAUAUGUCCAAAAUACUGUGUAAUUACGCCAUGAACAGAGACGACUUUUAGCCGUGUUUGGUGCAGCGCUAAUAUUUCCUGACAGUCCGUGACGUCACGCGUACGCAUCAUCAUUCCGCGACGUUUUCCACAAGAAACUCGCGGGAAAUUUAAAAUUGCAAUUUAGUAAACUAAAAGGCCGUAUUUGCAUGUGUUGCAAUGUUAAUAUUUCAUCAUUGAUAUAUAAACUAUCAGACUGCGUGGUCGGUAGUAGUGGGUUUCAGUAGGCCUUUAACCGGAAAAGCAAUACAUGAAUCACAGCUAAAAGGAAAUAAGCGCCCUGACCCCCCCAACCCUCCCAGUGUAUGGCAGGCACAGUGCGUAUGACCCAUAAUCGCAUUAGAGAGUGUGCAUGGACACUGGGACUUCAUAUAUUCAGUAGGUGUAAAAAUACAGACAAAACAUCUCUUAUAUGUAAAUGCUGCCCCUUGCUAGGUCAGCAUUGCAAAUGAAAAUAUGCAAUGCUACAAUGGCGAAAGGGGUUGGGGGGGAGCAAAAUAUUUUCUUCUUCCCAGGUGGGGCCUAACAGAAAAUAUUUGAGAAGCACUGCGUUAGAUCCGUAAAGAGUUGAUAUAUUGUUACACGUUGUUGUUCGUCUACACAAGAAACAAACAUACCUUUUGAUUAGACAGGCGAUGUGCGUGCUUGAGCGGCAAUUUCCAUUGCCCAAAAUGACGGACAAAGUUGUAGGGUUGUGUAUAAUUUGCGUGAAUUGCCGAUAUCAUGAAAUCUAGCAGGGGCUGACUUGUGUUAUCAAUUGUUUGUCUUAGUAGAUCACCGGCAACACACUCACUAAUAGUACACACCAUUUUAUAGAUUGCCAAUGAUAUUCAGCACUUAUUUGGGAUCAUAGUAGAUCAGGCCCUGAAUGUUCUGAACUUCAGUUUCAAUUCCAGUGUUUGUUCUAUCCAAAAAUAUAGUAGUGAAUAAUGUUGUAACCAAGUAAUGUGUCCCAUUUUACAUGAAUUGCUUCACCAGCAGUGCUUACAGUAUGUACAUGAUGACUCCUAUUGCCCAGCAGUCUACAGGUCUUCCAUAUCGCUGCCGACCAACAACCUCUGGAGCUAAAAGUACAAAUAAAGCUGUAAUUUUUCCUUUCAUUGUAAUGGCCAGCAUGUCAAACUUAACCUACCAAGGUACUCUGGAGUCCCACACGGAUCCUUAAUGUGUCUGUUUUCCAGUUUAGCCAGCUGGAAGUCACUGAUAACAAUUUUAGAGUGUUUCAAGCGAUUAAAGUACACAAGGUUUUC